CGCCAUUAGUUACGUAGCAAGGCCAUUAGAAUCUGUUUAACAGUCUGUCAUCUCCGACGAGAUAGCAUKACAUAAAAACUGGCCGGUUAGCGGUGGAGUGGGAAGUCUGCGAGAACAUGCUGCCACCACCCGGUGCACAGGAGAACUGCAGCCAGUGAAAAUUCACAGGGUAGAUUUUUACCUUUAAAGGAUUUCUAUUAAAAUUCACAGGGUAGAUUUUUACCUUUAAAGGAUUUCUAUUUAUUGAGGCUUUAAAUACAAUCUUCACUGGAAGAGAAAAUCAACUUUGAUUCUUCAUAUGCGUAACAUGUACCACACUUUAAAGAGAAUCACUUACCUUAAAGAGAAUCACUUACACCAGCCUCUCCCAUCUUGUGAGUUUAGGUUUGUUUUAAAUGAAAUCCUCAAUGCUACCCUAAUUUCAUAGACUGAUUUGUUUUUAGUCUAUACAUAUGAUCAUAUGGCUGGGGGCUCAGAUUUUGUCCAGGUUUGCAGCAGCGUUCUAUUAGCUAUUGGAACCAGAAGACAUCUAGCAGCCAAUAAAGUCUGAGAAGAGCUAGUUUSUCCUUUUUCUUGUUUACCGAAGAGACGAAAAUAUGACGUGGACAUUGGGACAAGACGAGGGUCCACUCUAAGCAGUUCAUCUAUUAAAAAAAUGGCUUCCAGGUAAGAAAAAAACAAAAUAUCUCAAAAUAUACUCCUGUGUAUAAUGCAACCCCACAUAUUUGUUUUAAGAUUUUUAUGUUCAAAUAUUUCGCAUUAAACAGAUAUGGUGGUAUAAUUUUACUUUUAAGCUUCACAAACCAAAAA
This is a long non-coding RNA of Austrofundulus limnaeus, 810 nucleotides long. RefSeq lists it as uncharacterized. The transcript is spliced from 2 exons. Lineage: Eukaryota; Metazoa; Chordata; Actinopteri; Cyprinodontiformes; Rivulidae. The record is from RefSeq and is a predicted model, not a curated record.